GUUUGUGAAAAAUCCGUGAAGCGAAGAAAAUUUUUCUUGCGGUCCUGGACCAGACAAGUGGUCUUCUUGAUUAGAAAUUCAAUUACAUCGGCAUCAGAGGUACCAUACAGUGUAGGUCUCUAUGGAUUAUCUCCAUCUUCUUCACAGCUUUAAAUUACUAAGAGCUACCUUUCCCAAGACAUUGUGGGCUACAUGAUGCUAAAAAUCCAUCGAAAUCGUACAAGGAUGGGCCAUCUCGACUGUC
Molecule: long non-coding RNA, 244 nt
Organism: Lytechinus variegatus (green sea urchin)
Lineage: Eukaryota; Metazoa; Echinodermata; Echinoidea; Temnopleuroida; Toxopneustidae
Exons: 3
Source: RefSeq, a predicted model, not a curated record